This 76-nucleotide non-coding RNA is filed under the name bovine gut metagenome. RNAcentral's name for it is "TPP riboswitch (THI element)". The stretch from base 3 to 69 matches the Rfam family "TPP riboswitch aptamer (THI element)", at positions 10 to 89 of the family's 105-position model. From Rfam's summary of the family: Vitamin B(1) in its active form thiamin pyrophosphate (TPP) is an essential coenzyme that is synthesised by coupling of pyrimidine and thiazole moieties in bacteria. The previously detected thiamin-regulatory element, thi box was extended, resulting in a new, highly conserved RNA secondary structure, the THI element, which is widely distributed in eubacteria and also occurs in some archaea. Analysis of operon structures identified a large number of new candidate thiamin-regulated genes, mostly transporters, in various prokaryotic organisms. The record is from RNAcentral.
UACAGGGGUGCCUUUACAGGCUGAGAUCACACCCUCAGAACUUGAACCGGGUCAUGCCGGCGUAAGGAGAUCAUUA